RNAcentral lists this long non-coding RNA (1368 nucleotides) under Homo sapiens (human). Its description in RNAcentral is "long non-coding RNA NONHSAT071732.2". The record is from RNAcentral. Lineage: Eukaryota; Metazoa; Chordata; Mammalia; Primates; Hominidae.
AUCCAACCAAGGCCUCAGUGAGGUCCCACGUGUCCCCCGUGGCGAGAUUUCGCCCUCCCGCCGUUGAGGAGGAAGAGUGUGAGAACAGACUUCCUAGGCACCGGGCGCCGUUCCCCAGCCGCUUCUUACGCAGCCGGGAAACCACAACGAGAUUUGGUCUUCGAGAGCAUUUAGGCGGGGACCACAACGAAUCCGGGAGUUGGCCAGAAGGAUCCAUCGAGAGGCGAAGAGUGGGGGCUGGGGGAGGAGGCACCUGCGGAGGAAGCCGGUGAGGCGGAGGCAGCCCAAAGGCGGAGGCCGCCCAAAGGCGGAGGCCAGCAAGGAUGGAGGCGCGCUGCGCUCUCGCCCUUCUCUGGGACGCGCCGCAUAGGCCACCCCUACCAAAACCGGACCCCUCCGAAGCGGAAGAAGCCGCGCACGUCCUUCUCCCGCUCACAGGUGCUGGAGUUGGAGCGGCGCUUCCUGCGCCAGAAGUACCUGGCCUCUGCGGAGAGGGCGGCGCUGGCCAAGGCCUUGCGCAUGACCGACGCACAGGUCAAAACGUGGUUCCAGAACCGACGCACCAAGUGGCGGCGCCAGACGGCGGAGGAGCGCGAGGCCGAGCGGCACCGCGCGGGCCGGCUGCUCCUGCAUCUGCAGCAGGACGCGUUGCCACGGCCGCUGCGGCCGCCGCUGCCCCCGGACCCUCUCUGCCUGCACAACUCGUCGCUCUUCGCGCUGCAGAACCUGCAGCCCUGGGCCGAGGACAACAAAGUGGCUUCAGUGUCCGGGCUCGCCUCGGUGGUGUGAGCGACGCCCGUCCGAUCGGCGUGGAGCGCCGGGCCCGGAGCGGUGGAGCGCGCGGCUGCCUGCGUCCAUGGUCUAGUGGCAGCCGGGCGCGUGAGGAGCGGCAGGCCUUGAGGCUGUCGUCGAGGGCUCCUCCACCACCGGCCGGCUCCCAAGCCAGCGUUGCGCAGAUGCACGGCCAGCUCAGAGGCGGCCUUUCCCGCCAUUUUUCACUUCACUGCCGUUACGCCCUCGCUGGAACCUGAGGCGCCGAGAGGGCGGGACCUGCAGGACAGUAGCCAAUGAGGUGCGGGGAGGGGGCCGGGCUGGCCAAUGGGAGCUGCUUUCCUGAGGGACUCGAAAUUCUCCGGCGGGUGGUCGGGAGCUGGGGCUCUGAGGGGCUCUAGCGGCGUUGCGCGCGGUGCCGGCUGGGUCUGUACCAAAGGUGUGAAGGAAAGAAGACACCGACCACGGCGAAGCAAUAGAGGGGGUGCUGGAGCGCGAGAGGCUGGCUGAUUGUGACCGAAACCAGAGGGUUGUCCACCCCGGGCAUCUCAUCCCUCAACUGUAAAAUAAUCGCUAAGGAUUCCUUCCUGACUUUGA